UGCGCAGUGAGUGAUAUAAUAUACCGGCCUACAUAUUUGGCGUCUUGUUAAAAGACCUGACAUUGUACCUGCGCAGUGGGUGAUUUAUCGAUGUAUGACUAGAGCACAUGUAAUGACCAGAAGAGGUGAAGU
Long non-coding RNA from Maniola jurtina (meadow brown), 132 nucleotides. RefSeq lists it as uncharacterized. The transcript is spliced from 3 exons. The record is from RefSeq and is a predicted model, not a curated record. NCBI's taxonomy places the organism in Eukaryota, Metazoa, Arthropoda, Insecta, Lepidoptera, Nymphalidae.